AGUACGUAUUCGCUCAUUGGCUGGAGGGAGUGUGCGUACUAAGUGAUUGGAUUCUCUUAGCAGGCUCCCUUGGGCAAUGCUUCACAAACAUGACUGUGCAUGCCAAUCACCCAGAGAUCAUGUUAAAAUGCACAUCUGGUUGAGGAGGCCUAGGUUUCUAUAUAUUAUAGAAGUUCAAAGAAGACAGACUCUAGCCAAGAGCAGUGUGAAGAAAAGAAGGCUCUAUAUUGAUCGCAGUCCAGGGAUGCCUUCUGGCUUCCUGGCAGCAAUUCCGGCCUGAGAUUCCUUCUCUGUCAUACUUCCUGUCAAUGUUGUAUGAUAUCAAGCUGUAGCCAUCUCAAAAGGACUGUGAAUACCUGUAAAUCCCAACCAUCAAAAAUCACACCGAGGAAUCCAAAUUAGCAUUAUUAUGUCAAAAGAAAAAUCUGAUUUCCCCACUGUCU
Molecule: long non-coding RNA, 443 nt
Organism: Rhinopithecus roxellana (golden snub-nosed monkey)
Lineage: Eukaryota; Metazoa; Chordata; Mammalia; Primates; Cercopithecidae
Exons: 3
Source: RefSeq, a predicted model, not a curated record